RNAcentral lists this long non-coding RNA (8457 nucleotides) under Sus scrofa (pig). RNAcentral describes it as "lncRNA (ENSSSCG00005017516.1)". The record is from RNAcentral. Lineage: Eukaryota; Metazoa; Chordata; Mammalia; Artiodactyla; Suidae.
UAAAGCUUCUAGUCAUAGAAAAGCACUUACAAGGACAUACAGGGUUCAUCUUGGCACACUUGGCUUGGAUAUGUGAGACAUGAUAUGGAGUUUAUAUCCAAUGAGGGUUCUGGGGAAAUAAGAAAGCAUUUGAGACAAAACAGCAAUAAGGCCUGAUUCUGAUAAAUCUAAAAUGUGUUUUAGAUUAAUAUUUGCUAUUCAUUUUACAAUUAAUUCAAGUUCUGCAUAAAAUUUCACACAAAGGGAAAAUAUUUUAAAGUCCUAAGUAUUUCCUAAUGUAACAUGAGACCAACUUCCCUGAUCUGAAGAAUUGAGAACUGUUAUAUUUAUCAAAAUAAAAAAUAAUUGAAUAUCCAUAAUCAUUUUGGCAAAAGCUAUACCACUUAACUUCUUAUGUAAAUAAUUUUCAGACUGAACUUGGCAAGUAUGCAACUAAAGGAAAGACUUCAUAACCCUAAUGUUAGAAAAUUUUCCAUAUUAUAUUUUUUACCUAUAUCCUUCUUCAAGUCUGAGAGCUCCAAUAUAUGCUAGUGAAAAAAAAGAUCAAAAUUAGCAUUAAUGUAAGGAUUUUCAAUCAAUACUGUAAAAAGAAUCACUAGGGGAAAAAAAGGCCAGAAUAAAGAAAACUCAAAUAUAUGACUUAAUGAGAAACCCUUCAAACAUACAAAAUCAAACUGUAUUACUUACCAAACCUCUACACCAUCUCCUGAUAAAUCUCCAAGGGAAAAAUGUGGGAGAUCUAAAAUGUAUCAUAAACAGGCAGAGAAAAUAUUUUAAUAGCCCUCCCCCUAAAUAACAUAAAUUCAAAGUAAAAAAUUUCAGGACAAGACAUAGGUCAAUGAAGUAUAAUUAUUUUGAAGUCUUUUAUAAAAUUUCUAAACUUAUGAAUAAACUUCCAGUUUUCUGCUCCUGAGAAUGCUGAAAUACUUUUAAAAGGAAAGGGGAAAAAGAGCAAAACUUAAAUGUGCACAUGUGUGUGUGGGGGGAAUCAAUACAGAACAUAGGGAAGAGAUGAGCUGCAAGGAAAAAAAAAAAAAAAAGCUGCAAGGAGGAGGAGAGAAAAAACACCAAAAUAAAAAAUAAAAUAAAAACCUUUCUCUGUAAUACUGUGGAGUUCUAUUUGUUUUUUCCUUCUAAUUUACUGAGAUAUGGGGCUCUUUGGAACAGACCAGUUAUUAAGUAUUUGAAUCACUGCUCUACUACAAAAUGUUCCUGUAUCUGUGUCAUCUGUAAAAGCGAAGCUGUGAGGAUUAAAAGAAAACACCCAAAAAGCACUAUGAACAGUACCUAACACACAGCAAGCACUUAAAUGCCAGCUAUCAGCACUAAACAGUGCACAUGUUCACUUAAAUAUUUCCUUAUCAGCUAUUAUCUCCUUAUCUCCCUGAUGGGCUCCCUGAAUGGCUGGAAUCUGAAUUCAGGUUUUGCCAAUAUAUCUAAUGAUACUUAACUUUCAGAAUGGCUUUAGUCAAAUUCUUUCAAAUGUUCUUUCCAUAGUGACACCCCUCUUGCCUGGCAUCAAUUAUUACUUUUGAUAUUAGGAGGAGAUGGAAAUAUAGAUGUAGUGUGUCUUUCAUGCCUUUGCUCUACAAAUCUAAAGCUUUUGUAUAUAUAAAGAAGGAAACAUGUAGCAAUUAUAAAAUGUUAAAUAUUUUAUGAUGCUAAGGACAGAAUAGAGGCAUACAAUAGCAAAUUAAAUUUUACAAAUUUAAACUUCUAGAAUAAACCUUCUGUUCUUCGGUUAUAAAUCAAUAAAUCUAACGUAAGAAAAUGCUUUGUCUCUGGCUCUAAAAAGAUAAAUAUAUUUCUAAAGAAAGAUAAAAGUGAAAAUUUUGGUUCUAAUACUUGCUUUAUGACGAACUAGCUGUACAACCCUGGCUGUUACUCAACUUCUCUGGGCCAGUGAAUAUUAAAGAUAAUACAAAGUACCUAGCUGCGUGUGUCUGGCACACUGUAUGAACUCAAUGAAUGGGAGCUAUUGCUUGACUAGUGUGAGUGAAGAGGGUUGGACUAGAUAUCAAGUCAAAAUUCAAAAUUCAAAAUAUCAGGAAGGCUUUUUUUUUUUUCCCCAGGGUAGCACCUGCGGCACAUGGAAGUUCCCAGGCUAGGGUUUGAAUCAGAGCUGCAGCUGCCAGCCUGCACCACAGCCACAGCAAUGCCAGAUCCAAGCUGCAUGGGCAACCUACACCACAGCUCACAGCAAUGCCAGGACCCUGACCCACUGAGCAAGGCCAGGGUUUAAACCCGCACCCUCAUGGAUACUAGUCAGAUUUGUUUCUGCUUCGCCACAAUGGGAACUCCAAGAAUUUAGAUAUGACACCAUAUGAUGAGAAUGUUGUUAUUUUUGUGAUAAUUACUAUGGCAAUUACAAAGCACAAAUAGAGAAGUAAGAGAGAUCAGGUAGGAAAAUUGGGAAAAGAAUUUUAACAAUCUAGAAAUUGACGUGUAAAAUAUACAGCAAUGCUUCCUAACCUGUAAUCUUGUUACCUGUAAUUUGUGGAUAUAUCAAACUGACUAAAUGUGAAUUUUCUCCUUAAUUCCAUAAUGGAAGAAGGCUCCUUUAUAUCCACAGUAUAUUUGGUACUUAGAACAUUAUCAUAAAAGUGGGUCUCUAAAUGUAUAGUCUAAAAUUGAAUGUAAUGCUGUUAUAAUUAAUAAAAUCAAUCACUUUAAAAGUACUGCUCAAUUCCUAGAAUAUUUUAAAACAAAACUUCCAGUCAACUGAAGUAGUAAAGUACAACAAUUAGCUCUUAUGGCUGGUCUGAUAUUUUUUUCUACACUGGUUCCAAGUCAUCUUCUUAUGAGAUUAAGAACUACCAUCCUAGGAUAGUAAAUUAAUAAGUAGAGAAAGGAAUCAACUAUAAUGGAAAAAAUAAAAAUCAUACAAAUAAAAAAAAAAUUCUAUGAGGGGAAAAAAAGGGGGAGAAAGGAAAAGACAUCAUAUUAGAAUCAGUAUGACUUGAUUAACGGAAAAUCCAGGUUACUAAGACUGUAACCUGUAGGACCAAAAUGUACUUCAUGCCUGUAUGGUUUUCUUCCCUAUGCCAGAAUCUGCUCCUUGUAUCCACAGUGCCAGAAACACAUUUAUGCACUAAACUUUUGUUAAAUGACUAGUAUCUGUUUUUCAGCAUCACCAAAUUUCAUGUGAUCUGGAGGUACAUAUGAGAUGAGACUAAAAGACUGGGUUUAGAGAUAUAAAGUCCAGAAGCCCUAACUGUGGCUGAAGUCUCUAAAGAGGGAUAAAAGACAUAGGAAGAGGGCAUUACGAGGGACAAAUACACAAAUUGUGGAUCAAACAGAGUCAGCAAAAGUCAGAAAAGUUUUGAAGGUUUACUGAAUUCUAUCAAAAAUAACAAGACAAUCAAGGAUGAUGACUGGGUGGGGUGGGGCACAGGGGUAGACAACUGAAAUGGCCUGAAGAUCACUGCUGUCAUAAACAUGCUGGCUUUGACUUAAUGACAAUUAAAGUGACCUGUAAUUCUCCUAGGUAGAACAAAGCUGGAUGGAACCCCAAAGCAACCAAAGGCACAGCACCUUGGUUUGUCAGACAUCUAUCUAGAAUGGUAAAUUUGGUCUCAGUGCUAGGUAUACCUGGAGCCAACCUGACUUUGAUUAAUAUCUUCCAGGUCAUAAGUCUCAGCUGUGAUAUUGCUUUACUGUUUAUUCACUAGCCACAAAUACAUAUAUGGGCUAUUACCACCAGAGAACUGAUUUUCUUAAAGUUCAUGGGUAAUCAGGAUGCUAUUCAACUUUGCUUAUGCAUAUUAUACAAUAAGGAAAUAAGUUCUGAUUCUGCUCUAUCUUUAGUUUAUGACCCUAGCCUAGGCAAAUCAUGAGUUAUGAAGUAAAAUGGAAACAAUUCCCUAUUUCUAAAACACACAAACAGAAAGAUAACAAUUGCAGAUUAUCAGAAAGAUGUGAAAACAAAAAAUCAACAACACACAAAGCCAUGGUUAUAUAUACACCCAGCAUAGUUCAUGAUCUUCGAGCAGCCACUUCAAAGACAUAAAAGAAAGCCAGGGAAGGUACAAAACAGGGCAACUAAGAAGUGUUUAUAAUAAUAAAGUGGCUUUUACCUUCAAAGAGUAAGAACUCCAAUCUGGAAAGAAAGUUAAGACGAUAAAAUUGAAUUCCAUGAAAAAUCAUAAUGGUUGCAGAUAAAAAUACUAGAGUCUGGCUCCAUUUUAUUCAAAGUAAUUUAAAGCAAAUCCUGAAACACUCCAACUAGGAAAUGUAUUAACGCUGGUAAAAAGUAAAUCUCAAAUCACAAGAUAUUUCGUAAACUUGUGACAUAAGCCAUGGGUACAAAAAAAAAAGUAGUCUGAAAAACUGUAAAUAGUUUUAAGAAGGUUCCGCUAUUCAGAAGCUAUCGUUAAUCUUACUAUCACAACAUAAAAUAAUUCUUAUGCUGUUAUUUCAGUGAAACUAGUCUUUGGCCCCACCUAUAAUUCCAAGCUGGGAAAACUAACAGUCUAACCAGCUAGUUAGCAAUAUCCCAGAUAUUCCAGUUAUUCAGUAUUUCAAAGAAGCCUAAUGACAUUUACCAGCUAAGACUGCAUAUAGCAAGCAAAACCCAGAAGGCACUUACAGAGCGGUAGUUAAAAUAUGAGCUCUGGUAUCAGAUCAGCCUGGGUUCAAUUCCAGAUUGGCCAUUUCUAGUUAGGAAUGCUUUGGAUCGAAAUGUCUGUGUGUUUCCGUAUUUAUAUUUACUUUACAGGAUUAAUAAAUAAGUAAGUUUAAGAUAAUGACAGCCAUUGGAAACAUUCACUAUUAGGUCUACUGUCAAGUUUGCUGACUGAAACUGUAACUAGUUCAACGUGCUAAGCUCAGUUCUCUUACUGACUAAAAGUUCUAACAAUUAUAGGUCUUCGAACUUUUUUAAAAAAGAAAAUGUUCAUGGUUGAAAAACAGACUGAGAGCUGAAAAGGUUGGAAAGUCAUUUGGAUUAAACCAUGUUUUUGUUUGUUUGUUUGUUUUUUUGCUGUGCCCACAGCAUGCAGAUGUUCCUGGGCCAGAGAUCAAACCCAUGCCACAGCAGUAACAAUGCCAGAUCCUUAACCUCUAGGCCACCAGGGAAUUCCUAAGCCAUGUAUUUUUAUUUUUAGCUUUUAUGGCCACCCCUAAGGGGUAUGGAAGUUUCCAGGCUAGGGGUCAAAUCGAAGCUGCAGCUGCCGGCCUACAUCACAGCCACAGCAACACCGGAUUUGAGGCACACCUGCAACCAACACCAUAGCUUGUGGUAAUGCCAAAUCCUUAACACACCGAGUGAGGUCAGGGAUUGAACCCACAUUCUCAUGAACACUAUGUCAGGUUCUUAACCCACUGAGCCACACACAAUGGGAACUCCCAUAAACCAUGUAUUUUCAAGAGACAUGGAAUUCUGAGGGCUUGUUUGUUUUUUUAAAGAAACUAUCUUAAUCAACUCAGCUCUCCCUAUCAAACCUAUCAAUAUCUUAUAAUACCGCUGACAAAAAUGUAUUAUUAGACACUAGAUUAACCAGUUUUGUUAAGACAUCAAAGCAUGAAACAGCUUGACCUUUAUAUUAAGGGGCCUUAUGAGUUACAGGGAAUGGAGAAAAAAGUUAUUUUUAGUAAAUCUAGUCCAUUUAAACAAAGCAACACCUGUUUUUCUUCAGGGAUAUAACAAAUGUUUCAAAGAACUGCUCAUUAUUUCAACCUUGACUAGGGAUUUCUCACUCAAGGCUUAGUUUUCAGUAAGGGAAAAAUAAAAUAUAAGGAAACCUACCUUCACAUUUGUUCUUUCAGAGUCAGUCACUCCAUCUUUAUAUUUAAAAUUUUGAACUGUACAGUAGAAAUUCUUAAAAGUCAAGUUACUUUUAUCUUAUCCAGUGGACACUACAGUUGUAAUUUAGUUUAAAAAAUUCAUAAUAUAUACACUUUAAAAACUCUUCUCUCUAGGAGUAAUCCAAAUUAUGCACAUUAUUCAUAUAUUCCAAUUAUAAGCUGAGUAUUUUAUUAGGAGGACAGAACACCUUUUAAACUUCCAAUGGUGUUUUUCUGGAAGAUUUGGUUUGAGGAUCACUACAAUUUAUAAAUCUAUUACCACCUCUUGGAAUCUUCUCUAAAUUCUUUAAGAAUAAUAGCCAUGACUUCCUAUUUUCUAUUUCUAAUUGCAGAAACAUAAAACACUCAAUGGCUAUAAAAUGAAUGGACAUAAAUCAGUUAUCAAUGUUAGGUACAGACCAGACUUAACCUUUUCAAUAAAUAGCUACUUUCAGCUGAUUAUCUAGAUUUGGUUGGUAACGUACAAGAUGAUCUAUUUAAUGAUACCCUUUCCUAAGCAUUAACAGGUUGAUCAAGAUGUUAUUGUUGGAGUUCCCAUUGUGGCUCAGGGGAAACGAACCUGACUAGUAUCCAUGAGUCCAAAGGUUCAAAUUCCUGGCCUCAUUCAGUGGGCUAAGGAUCUGGCAUUGCCGUGAGCUGUGGUGUAGGUUGUAGACACAUCUUGGAUCUGGCAUUGCCGUGGUGUGGGCCAGUGGCUACAGCUCCGAUUUGACCCCUAGCCUGGGAAACUCCAUAUGCCACAGGUGCAGCCCUAAAAGACAAAAAAAAAAAGUUACUGUAGUUUCUGAAAAGAAAAAAUAAGUUAAUUACUUUUAUAAUACUUCUCAAGGACAAGAUCCAGGAUGGGGAAUUUUUGGUAAUUCCUUCUGUCAUAAUGAAAGCCCACACAAUGGAGAAAGCAAUAGUAUUUUGCAAUCUUCUUUUUUAAGGUAAAAAACAUGUUACACUAAUAAAAAUGAUUAAAGGUAGUAAUUUCAACACACAUCACACAUCGGGAUGAAGCUUCAAUUUUACUAUUUACUAGAUUUAAAUAUUUUCCCCAAAGGUUUACUGGUAAGCAAGAUCACAUAAAUGAUACAUUGAGAAUUAUAUGUUGAGAAUUCACAUAAGCAUUCAGCUUCCUUCUUCAAGCUACUAAACUAUACAUCUAUAGAUUUAAAUAUUCUGCCCCAGACAGAAUCUUUGGGUAAAUUUUAAGAAACACUUACCAUUGUUUUGACCUACUUUGCAGAUCUAAAUAUAAAGCAACACUAAAACUGAUACACAAACACAAUUUUUAAAACAGCAAUGACAGUAAUUUUUCAGAAAACACUGGCCAGAUCUUUUAUUAAUGUAGUAUUUCAAAUCAUUAAUAAUCUCCAUUUGGGAAACAUUUAAUCUACACCAAACAGAAGUAAUCACACAAAAAUUUUGCAAGGAGAGCUAGUUUUCUUAGAGCCAGAUCAACUGAUCAGUUAUAAACUCAAAGAAACAACUCCAGAGUUUAGGUGUGGUAAAUAGUAAGCCUGGAGUUCCCAUCGGGGCACAGCGGAAAACGAAUCCAACUAGGAACCAUAAGGUUGCGGGUUUGAUCCUUGGCCUCACUCAAUGGGUUAAGGAUCUGGUGUUGCCGUGAGUUGUGGCAUAGGUCACAGAUGCAGCUCGGAUCUGGCAUUGCUGUGGUUGUGGCAUAGGUUUGCAGCUGUAGCUUCAAUAAGACCCCUAGCCCGAGAACCUCCAUAUGCCGCAGGUGCAGCACUAGAAAGCAAAAAAUAAAUAAAUAUAAAUUAAUAAUGAUAAGAAGAAGCCUUCAGCUAAUCCCCUAUAGAGUGUCAAGUUAUUGUCAUGGUGAUCUUAAAUUUAAUACUAGUGAGUACUGAGAAUCCCUAAAUCUAGCCUGAAAUACCCGAUUAUUUUAAGCAAUGGACAAAUUAUACACAUUAUAGAAGCAAGACAUUACAGUCCUUAAGAAUUUAACAGACUUUUAACAAAAAUACUGAUUUAUCUGUUUAUCUAUAUACUGUUUUCUGUAUGGCUCGGAUUCUCAUGAAACAGAACAGUAGAAAAUACCUGGAAUAAUCUAAAGCCAUUUUUUCAUUAAAAAAACUUUUAUUAAAGACCGCAUGUCUUUCUGUAUCAAGUUAAGAUAAUAUCUUCUCCAAGAAUGCAUAUAGAAAAUAGGUUCUCCACAUGACCCACCAUAGGGCUGAGCAUACUGGGGUUUUUUUUGAUGUGUUAAUUUUGUAUCGUGCAUGCAUACAUUUGUGCAAGCCCACAUAAACACACACACACUCAGGUUUGGUAAGUGAAGACCUCUAACAAAUUUUUCCACCACGUCCUUGAAAAAUGUAGAUGAAAUCAAAUAUCAGAUGAUGGAUGAUUUAAUUUACCCACACUUUAAAACUACUUAAAACUAAUUUAGAGAGAACUCAGGGAUGAAAAUAAAUUUGGAUUUUGUGAAUAAACUUAAACAUUUUAAGUCAAUUGGAAAGUGGCAUUCCCUUUUGAAAUUAACUGUAAGUUUGCUUAGGUAAGAAAUGGCUUUCUUAAAGACCAAAAUCCAACCAAUAUGAUAUUUUGGCCUAAACUUUUAUAAAUGAUGGAAGAAAAACAAACUGAACUACCAACAUCACACACACACCCCUUAGCAAUCCAUUUUAAUCUAAGACAAAA